GGCCCUGUGGUGUUAACACGUGUGGUUGCAAACCUCAAAAUGCAGAAUAGACCCCUGCCGGGGCUU
This 66-nucleotide transfer RNA is filed under the name Quasipaa boulengeri (spiny-bellied frog). Its description in RNAcentral is "tRNA-Cys". It matches the Rfam family "tRNA". From Rfam's summary of the family: Transfer RNA (tRNA) molecules are approximately 80 nucleotides in length. Their secondary structure includes four short double-helical elements and three loops (D, anti-codon, and T loops). Further hydrogen bonds mediate the characteristic L-shaped molecular structure. tRNAs have two regions of fundamental functional importance: the anti-codon, which is responsible for specific mRNA codon recognition, and the 3' end, to which the tRNAs corresponding amino acid is attached (by aminoacyl-tRNA synthetases). tRNAs cope with the degeneracy of the genetic code in two manners: having more than one tRNA (with a specific anti-codon) for a particular amino acid; and 'wobble' base-pairing, i.e. permitting non-standard base-pairing at the 3rd anti-codon position. Lineage: Eukaryota; Metazoa; Chordata; Amphibia; Anura; Dicroglossidae. The record is from RNAcentral.